ACUCCACCUUAGUCUACAUGCAGCAUUAUGUCUGCAUCCUACGGAGUUCAGUUCAUUAUCAGACGCAGAGGCUAGCUCGAGGCACAGCUAAGAAAAGUGGAAGUAUGAAGUAUGAAGUAGAAUCAAGGAAGGCGAUGAAGGCUGCCUCCACAGGUACCCCGACAACACCGCUACCUGAGACACCUAGGCCUAGGGUUGCUCCAGCUGCUGUGAACAUUAUAUCGUGGUCUCUGCCACUAAUCUUCCUCCGCUCACAACUACGUAUACGACAAAUCAUGGCCCCCAUUAAGGAGGUAUCAACUUAACUGGCGCCGGACUAAUGAAACUUAAUUAAUUAUGUGUUGUGUUUGUAGUUUGUAUUUGUUAAAUUUAAUUUGUUAAAUUUAAUUUGGUAGCAUUAUAACGAAAUUAAUUAUUUAUUAAAGCUUAUUAAUCAA
Long non-coding RNA from Halichondria panicea, 437 nucleotides. RefSeq lists it as uncharacterized. The transcript has 4 exons. The record is from RefSeq and is a predicted model, not a curated record. Lineage: Eukaryota; Metazoa; Porifera; Demospongiae; Suberitida; Halichondriidae.